GUUGAGGUAGUUUAUAGAAAAUACCACGUUGUGGUUGUGGAGAUGUGAGGUCACCUUUAACA
RNAcentral lists this transfer RNA (62 nucleotides) under Gammarus chevreuxi. RNAcentral's name for it is "tRNA-His". Lineage: Eukaryota; Metazoa; Arthropoda; Malacostraca; Amphipoda; Gammaridae. The record is from RNAcentral.